AGCACUUUAUUCCGUCAUAUUGUCUCUGGAUUAAAUGUAUUCCUAAUGUCACUUUUAUAAACAAAUAAAGGUUAAAACUUUACAAUAUUAUUGUAAAUUUGCAAUUGGAAGCUGCAAAAGGGAUUAGAAUGUCAGCAAGGUCGGAACAAUUUUCGAUUUAAGUGGAAUUUACGGAAGGAUUUGACCUCACAACUAAUCUGCAAAAUGAAGAAGCAUCAUAUUUUGUAACCGGUUAGAAGAAACAAUAGAAAUAGUACUGUGGAUUGAUAAAUAAAGAGU
Pieris napi is the source of this 279-nucleotide long non-coding RNA. RefSeq lists it as uncharacterized. NCBI's taxonomy places the organism in Eukaryota, Metazoa, Arthropoda, Insecta, Lepidoptera, Pieridae. The transcript has 2 exons. The record is from RefSeq and is a predicted model, not a curated record.